Molecule: unclassified non-coding RNA, 2823 nt
Filed under: Haliotis rufescens (red abalone)
Lineage: Eukaryota; Metazoa; Mollusca; Gastropoda; Lepetellida; Haliotidae
Description: probable beta-D-xylosidase 7, transcript variant X1
Source: RNAcentral
AGCUGAGCACACUUUUCUCACGUGGGUCGUAUAUAACUGUGGACAUUGUUGUGAAACAACGACAUUCAAAGCCAUCGUCUGACCAUGACCGGCCUACGUCUCCUGGUGGUGCUGGUGUUUGUGCUGCCCUCUCACGGCGACUUCCCCUUCAGGAACACGAGUCUGUCCUGGGACGAGCGUGUGGACGACCUGGUGGGCCGCCUCUCCAUCGAGGAGAUCAUGUACCAGAUGACCAAAGGAGGCACUAGCCCAGGCAAUGGCCCCACUCCGCCCAUCCCCAGACUUGGUAUAGGGCCCUAUUCCUGGAACACGGAGUGUCUGAGGGGAGACGUGGAGGCGGGGAACGCUACCUCCUUUCCCCAGUCUCUGGGUCUGGCGGCCGCCUGGGACCCCGAUGUUGUGUACAAAGUGGCAGAAGCGACGAGCGAAGAGGUUCGAGGAAAGUUUAAUGAUUUCGUAAAGAACAAACAGUACGGCACCCACAAAGGAAUCAGCUGCUUCAGCCCCGUCAUCAACAUCAUGCGCGACCCCAGGUGGGGCAGGAACGAGGAAACCUACGGAGAGGACCCCCACCUGACUGGUCAGUACGCCGCCCACUUCGUGUGGGGACUGCAGGGGAACCACCCCCGCUAUGUCCGAGCUAACGCCGGGUGUAAACACUUCGAUGCGUACGCCGGCCCGGAGAGCAUACCCGUCAGCAGAAUGUCUUUCAAUGCCGUUGUUUCAGAGCGAGACUGGCGAACCACAUUCCUGCCCGCAUUUAGAACAUGCGUCAAGGCGGGGACCUACAACAUCAUGUGUAGCUACAACAGCAUCAAUGGUGUACCAGCGUGUGCCAACAAGCGGCUGCUGACGGACAUCCUUAGAGACGAGUGGGGUUUUCAGGGCUACGUCGUCAGCGACCAGGGUGCAAUAGAAAACAUCAUCGGCUCCCACCACUACUUAAACAACAGCGUAGAUACUGUAGCAGCCUGCGUCAAUGCUGGAUGUAACCUCGAACUUGCAGGCAAAGCGGAGGCCGUGUAUCUGUCUAUGUUGGAUGCCGUUAAGCAGGGGAAGCUGACCGAGGACCUAAUGAGGGAACGAGUUAAGAAGCUGUUCUACACCAGGAUGAGACUGGGAGAGUUCGAUCCCCCCUCCAUGAACCCGUACUCCACAUAUGACCUCUCGUAUGUAGAGUCCGCGGCUCACAGGGAACUCGCUGUAUGGGCUGCCACAAGAACAUUUGUCCUCCUGAAGAAUGAUGGCGGGUUUCUUCCACUCAAGCAGAAAAUCGACACUAUUGGAGUUGUGGGCGUCAUGACGUUUGAAGGCAACAACACCGUCGGCAACUACGCCCCCAACACCGACCCUCGGUUCAUGUCGCGGACAAUCGACGGUCUGAGAACGCUUGGGAACGUGGUUCAGGCUGCAUCUGGCUGUAACGACAGCAUGUGCGAGAAAUACGAUGCCGCCGCUAUCAAAAAGGCAGUUACCGGUGUCGACGUGUUGUUCAUCACGUUAGGAACAGGAGCCAGUAUCGAGAAAGAAGGACACGACAAACCGGACAUUGAGCUGCCAGCCGGACAAGUGCAGCUCCUAAAAGAUGCCGUCCAGUACAGUGGGAAUGUCCCGAUAGUUCUACUGCUAUUUAACGCUGGUCCUCUCAAUAUGACCUUUGCUGUCGGGAACCCUCGCAUCGUGUCCAUCAUGGAGGUGUUCUACCCUGCCCAGGCCACGGGGGAGGCGCUCAGGAGGGUCCUCACCAACGAUGGGGGAAACAAUGUCCCCGCCGGAAGACUUCCCUACACAUGGCCCAGGUCUCUGGAUGGGUUCCCCGAGAUGGUGAACUACUCCAUGGACGGCCGCACCUACCGCUACUUCAACACAGAAGUACUCUACCCCUUCGGAUAUGGCCUUUCAUACUCCACGUUCUUCUACAAGGAAGUGACGUAUCCGGGAUUGGUGAAGGCAGGACAGAGCGCCAAUGUAACCACAGUGGUCGUCAACAACGGGCCUUAUGCCGCUGACGAGGUAGUGCAGCUGUACGUGCGAUGGGAGAGCCCGUCCGUCCCCACCCCCAAGAUUCAGUUGGUGGACUUCAAGAGAGUGUCCUUAGCGGUCAAACAGGAGCUGGCCGUCAACCUGACCAUAACAGCCCAGAACAUGGCGAUCUGGGACGACAACAACGGCUGGAUAGUCGAGGACGGUUACCUAGAGAUGUUUGUCGGUGGCCAGCAGCCCAACCAGCUAUCAACCGAUGGUAGCUAGUGGCUUCCGACCCAGAAUUCUAUAGUGUGCAUUAGGCAUUCCGUCGAGGGACACAGGGAAACCCCGGAUAGUUCUAACUACCUACCAACGGAGUACAUGCAAAGACAACCGGCUACAUGUUAGAACCGACAAGACCCGUGAACAAGCGUAGCCCCAGACAUGCAUGGUAUGUCAACUUGACCUUCUUGUCGGCGGAUUGAUCAAGACCCUUCGUGAAGAGGAACUCGGUUGUACAGCACCAACGUCAUAAGAGACUUAUCUUAUAUACAAUCUGAUAUAUAUGAGGUCGCAAUUGUAAAUUUGCGUUUAGCCCAGUCAUUGGAAUAAAAGUUUGUAAAUUCACACUCCUUGUCCAGUGCUUGUGAACUUGAUACAGGACAGAACCUGCUCCUUUUUAUAAGUCCUUCGUGUGUACUUCCCGAGCAGCAAACAGUCCUCAUGAGGAGAUUGUUCUUAUAGUCACUGCAACUAUGUAUAUUGCAUGCUGUAUAUAAAAUGGAUACUCGUACUUGUCUGUAUACAAAAUAUAUAUCUGAAUUCCAAAGUCAUUGCCAUUAAAAACAGUUUUAUACG